Fundulus heteroclitus (mummichog) is the source of this 501-nucleotide long non-coding RNA. RefSeq lists it as uncharacterized. The transcript is spliced from 3 exons. The record is from RefSeq and is a predicted model, not a curated record. NCBI's taxonomy places the organism in Eukaryota, Metazoa, Chordata, Actinopteri, Cyprinodontiformes, Fundulidae.
CCUCAGCUGCCCCUCAUUUGGUAAAAGGAUCUGGUCUACUCAGACUCCGCGGGAUUUCACCAGCUGCUUUCCGUUGAAGUCAGUUCUUUCUUAAACGUCCCGUCAAUGAAAGGCCUGAACACCAACAAUCUUCCUGAUUCCUACUUUGAAUUUGAGUCCAUACUACUUCAGAGUCAAUUAAAUGCUCAUUAAUGUAGGUCCCCUCAGCCUCCUUUAGGUUCUUGACCGAUCCAUCACAUUUAACCGGACAACCUGUGUAGUUGAUGGCUCACUGAAGGUACAGCAACUAUUUAAGAGGACUCAUGCAAUCGUCCAUCACUGCAACUCUGCACCCUGUAAUUUCUUUGACUUUAAGUGGUGGCAUCAUUUGGCCAGUUCUAAGAAUCCAAUCUGAACUGAAACUGUUAGAACUUGUUCCACUGAAAGUUUAUCUUUCCAUCUUAAAAAACUGACAACCUUUGAACCCUUUGAUCCUUUGAACAGUGCUUGUGCAUUAAAUCU